GCUAACAACUUAUAUCAUGUAUCCAUGUUAAAUAGGGAAACAAUGAUCAUGGGACUGGGAAUAUAUUACAGGGACAUGUAAGGAAAUCACAAGGCUGCAGACAUGAAUGGAAAGAGAAAUCACGUUAAUAAGGCAAAUAACACGCGAUGAACCUGGCAUAACUAGAAGCAAGAGCUGUAAAUAAUGCAUUGACUCCUUCCUUCAUCCCUUUUGAACCAGAUCAAAUCAAUUUAGUCGUCCUGAACUGUGUCUGUGCUGUCUCUUCUCCUAG
This 271-nucleotide unclassified non-coding RNA is filed under the name Hevea brasiliensis (rubber tree). Lineage: Eukaryota; Viridiplantae; Streptophyta; Magnoliopsida; Malpighiales; Euphorbiaceae. The record is from RNAcentral.